UUUUGUGUCAAAGAAAAUUGUAUUCUCAGCAAUGGAUGAUUCGAGAAUAUGUUUAUCUAUCACAAAUCUGAAUACCUUCAUGGUUAAAAUUACUGUCCUCAUCAUUCCACUGAAACUCCCGGAAGAAGAAGAUAAAAUCCUCUAUCUAGUUGUUGUUGAUUCACUAGCAGCAUAAUGAUAUCUACUCUCAAAACCCAAAUCUUCUUUCAGCGACACAGCCUAGGAUCUUCAAAGAUUUACUGAUGAAGGUGUUUCUCGAAGUUCUGAUGGUGAUGGACGUGAUAAAACAACAGGUGAAUGAAAUAUUGGUACAUUAGAAUGUAUUAAGUAUUUUGAAAUUACGGUUCUUCAAUUACUAUUGGUGGAAGCUCAAAAAAAAAAAAAAAAAAAAAAAUCUUGUUGCCUCUGCUGUUUAUAAUUAAUUGAUUUUUCCUUCUCUCUGAAUCGUAAUUGGGGUUCUUUUCUUCAGAUCGAUAUCCGUCUUAGCAAAUCUUGGGUUCUUCCCCAUUGGUAACGCAAUGGAAAAUCUUUCUCCACACCAGACCCAAGAUUUGUUACGCAAUGGAAAUUUUUUUGCUGAAUCAUUUCCUCGUCAUUUUCUUCACCAUUUUCUUCUCCAAAUGAUGAAUUUAACUAAAGCAUCAACCUCAAAAACUCAAAACCCUACAAAUGAAAAACAAUCGGAACUUCUUCCUCCAUGUUUCUUCGAUCAACAGGCUCAACCUUUGGGGUUUAGAUGAAAUCUUUCCUAAAUCUUCACAAAGAGAUGAUAUUACAGCAAACAAUUCAACAACAAAAAUGUUCUACGGAGGAUGGUUUUUCAUGGAAAUCAUGUAGCAAGUGGCCAAUGAACCAAAAUCAUCUGAAGUAUGUGAAAUUUUUACGUAAACCAAAUCUUCAUCUGGUUAAGUAACCAAAUCUUAAAAUUAAUUGAUUAAGUAGUGUUGUUGCUUAAUAUAGCAAGAUCUUUCUCCACACCAGACCCAAGAUUUGUUACGCAAUGGAAAAUCUUCUUCUCCAUCACUCUAUUUCUUCUCGCCAUCUUAGUAAAUUCAGAAUCAACUAUAGACCAACAUCUGCCACAAAGGAAAAUACUACCAACAUUCAACGUGCUGAAUUUCGGUGCUGUCGGUGACGGUAUUCACGAUGACACUCGAGUUAGUACCCAUCAUCAACUAAUCAGAAAUUUAUUUUGUAAUUUUGGCAAUAAGUUGAAUUUUCAUGAGUUAGUUUAGUUCAAGUCUUAAUUAAUAACUCUGAAACCAUAUAUAUGCUGUGUCAAGGUCUAGGGUCUAGUCAAAGGUUAAAAUCUGGUCAAGUCAACAUAAGUCGAUUGACCUCCUUGUUUUCCAGUUUCAGGACUGCAUCAGUUAAAACUGAAACCAUUUAGACUGAUUUGGCGAUCUUUGUUUGUCUCCCUGACUACAUUGUUGUGGAUAUUUUUUCCUUUCUUCGAUGAUAUUGUGGCAAUCCUUGGGGAUCUUUCUUUUUGGCCAUUGACUGUCUAUAUAUACCAGUACAGAUUUACAUAUCACAUACGAAGCUAGUGAAGUGGAGUAAAGAGUGGGUUAUGCUUCAAAUGCAAACUGCAGCGUGCUUUGCAAUCUCAAUUGCAGAUUUAUCCGGAUCUCUUGUUGUUUUUCUGAUUGGUCCGAAGGAUUUUCGUCCUUUUUAGUUUGAUUAUGAUUGGUAGGUUUUAUUAAUAAAUUCUCUCUAUUUCUGAAAUCCAUCCAUCUUCUUAUUAACUUUUAGAUUCAAGUGACUCAGUAAUGGUUUUCAGUUUGCUCCUAUCAUAAUUUCCAAUAAUAAAUAGGGGGAUUAAAAGUCACCGCCUCAGACAAUGUAUCCUUGUAGUGGUUGCCAUGUUUUUUAAAAAGUUUUGGUUUGCAAGUCUUGUUUUUUCGUUAACACUCAAGGGUAAUUGCAGGGUAAUUAGAAUUAAAAUGUAUGUUCGUUUUGAGUGUCAAUGACUAUGGAUUUGUGAAUUUGUAAUUGCAGGCCAGUGGAAAUAAGUAUGUACAUGAGCUAGUGAAGCUCAUAGAGAUUAUGACUCCUCAAAACAAAGCAGGAACAACCACAGUUAUCGCAAGAACAGGAGCAAAAAUCCAGACAAGGAUUUUCCAAGAACCUUAAGUGACGACGCUACACCCAAGAAACUUUCGGAUGGCAGCACCAGGGAGUGUGAGAACAAACGGUGCAGCAUGCUAUCAAUUGAUGCGGAACCUUAGCGAUUUCUCAAACAUCUGCAGCAACUUUUCAGACCUUAACCGGUUAUGAUCAUGAGACUAUUGCUUUCAAAAUUACUGCUCUGAUGGGUGUGCUAGAAUUUGACUGAGAACGGGAAAUCAACUUACAUGUGUGACACUUAUAUGUUGGCAUUCUUCAACUGGGGGAAGGAGUUGCAGAGAGAUGGUGAAACAUAAUUGGAGUCUAAAUGUGAUAACUUAUACCUCUUUGGUUUGUGGAUUUUGUAAACAACUUGAUUUUGGAAGAAGAAUCCCUGCAGCAGUGUAUUACUACGCAGUCUGUGUUCCUCUUGUUUUUGAUGAAUUUAAACUGAAAUGAGCUCUCUUGUGAUUGACGACGAUUCAUUACUGGUGUUUUUCAGAUUCUUAAUUUUUACUGAAUUCUAUAAAUUUUGGGGUCUGAUUCACAGUUUUA
Molecule: RNA transcript, 2661 nt
Organism: Papaver somniferum (opium poppy)
Lineage: Eukaryota; Viridiplantae; Streptophyta; Magnoliopsida; Ranunculales; Papaveraceae
Exons: 4
Source: RefSeq, a predicted model, not a curated record